UUUAACUCAAAAAUCGUAUUAUAAAUUGUUCGGCCCGUGCUAGCACGGGCGAACGGUAUCUAGUAUAGACAUACCGGGGACUUCAUCUUCUUGACUAGGGACUUAAAAAAAAAAAAAAACAUUGUCCUUCCUUCUUAAGUGAACAAAGAUAACCCUAAACAACGAAACCACCAUAGCAGCCCCUCCACGACGCUACAGCAGUCCCCGUCGCCCAGCCAAACCAGCCCGUCAAACGACCCCUCCCGUUUCUGCUUCGGCCUCAACUGCCUCACGCCACCGCACGACCACCUUCAGUCGACCACACUCCAGUCCUUCACGAACCACCAGUCGGUUGCGUUCUCCGCCGUUCCGAACGAACCUCCUGAAACCAGCUUCUCAAACCACCAUUUCCGUCAACCAAACAGUCACAUCGCUGCUGCCUCCAAACGACCAGCCAACGCAGCAGCUGCCUCCAGUCCGUCAACUACCAAACGACCCUCAGCAGCGUCGACCAGUCAGCCCGCCUCCUUCACCAGUCGAACUGCUAGGAACCAGCCCCAUUUCCGUCGUCUUCUUCAGCUUUUCGGCGAGCUAGCGGUUUGUUAAGUUCCGUCUUUGAGUGUCGUCCGACGAGGUCGUCCUUUCGAGGUUGGAGGUCGUUAUCCAAGGAGUCUGUUUCAGUUGCCGUUCGAGGUCUUGUUCGAGGUUCUCGUCCGUUUCCGAUCGUUGAUUCGUUCAUACAAACGUACGACAUAUUUCUAUUCCUGUUAUAUAAAAAUCAGGUAUUGAAAGCUUCAUGCUCGUUUUCCUAUUCUGUUCAGUAAUGCUUCAUAUUUCAUGAUUUAGCCUAUUUGGUCCUAUGUCUUAUUGGUGUUGUUUGUUUAUUUUGUUUAGGCUAGUUUACUAUUUCUUGAGCAUAUUUAAAUUAUUUUAUUACUACUAUAGUACUAUGUUAGAUUUUAUUGCCGAAUAAUUAGUUUUAAGAUAACUAAUAUGAGUUUGGUGAUUUUUCCACAUUUUGUC
This 1002-nucleotide long non-coding RNA is filed under the name Nicotiana benthamiana. RNAcentral describes it as "long non-coding RNA (NBEN_LNC016771)". The record is from RNAcentral. Lineage: Eukaryota; Viridiplantae; Streptophyta; Magnoliopsida; Solanales; Solanaceae.